CUCAAACUCGAGGUUCAUGCCUGGAAGGAGAAGAAUACAUAUCGUUAAAUUUAUUAGCACCGAGGCAAAACUUAUUCGUGUUAAGUAACUACGGUAAAUAAUCACAGAUUCCAUUCAAUUUGAUUGACGCAAGCAUGGCAGAGAGGAUAAAGCAGUGCAACAACUAUGUGGUAUGGCGCGAAAUGUCCAAAUAUGAAACAUGGGGCAUCUAUGAUCAGCAAAUUAACCUUAUUCGUUCGCUCUUCAUCCUAUAUAUCUUACCAGUUAAGUCCAUUCAAAGCAUCAGAAUAUUUAAAAGCCAUAAGACGGGCAAAUUAUCCUCAAGUGGAAUUAACAAAACACCACACUGCGAGAUUAGCAUAUUAACAGACAUUUCGGUGAGAAUCAACAGAAUUUGCAACACGGCAGCCACCCUAAGGGCUAGUUUGGGAGCUACAAAACCGGAGGGUAUUGGAGAGGCUAGAAUCCAC
This 470-nucleotide unclassified non-coding RNA is filed under the name Zea mays. RNAcentral describes it as "misc RNA Zm00001eb053640". Lineage: Eukaryota; Viridiplantae; Streptophyta; Magnoliopsida; Poales; Poaceae. The record is from RNAcentral.